CAGCAGCCGCGGUAAUACGUAGGGUGCAAGCGUUAAUCGGAAUUACUGGGCGUAAAGCGUGCGCAGGCGGUUAUAUAAGUCAGAUGUGAAAUCCCCGGGCUCAACCUGGGAACUGCAUUUGAGACUGUAUGGCUAGAGUGUGUCAGAGGGGGGUAGAACUCCACGUGUAGCAGUGAAAUGCGUAGAUAUGUGGAGGAAUACCGAUGGCGAAGGCAGCCCCCUGGGAUAACACUGACGCUCAUGCACGAAAGCGUGGGGAGCAAACAGGAUUAGAUACCCCGGUAGUCCCUGUCUCUUAUAC
Molecule: ribosomal RNA, 301 nt
Filed under: uncultured bacterium
Lineage: Bacteria
Description: partial 16S ribosomal RNA
Rfam family: Bacterial small subunit ribosomal RNA
Source: RNAcentral